CCUACGGGAGGCUGCAGUGAGGAAUAUUGGUCAAUGGACGAGAGUCUGAACCAGCCAAGUAGCGUGAAGGAUGACUGCCCUAUGGGUUGUAAACUUCUUUUAUAUGGGAAUAAAACGUUCCACGUGUGGGAUUUUGUAUGUACCAUAUGAAUAAGGAUCGGCUAACUCCGUGCCAGCAGCCGCGGUAAUACGGAGGAUCCGAGCGUUAUCCGGAUUUAUUGGGUUUAAAGGGAGCGUAGGUGGUUUGUUAAGUCAGUUGUGAAAGUUUGCGGCUCAACCGUAAAAUUGCAGUUGAAACUGGCAGUCUUGAGUACAGUAGAGGUGGGCGGAAUUCGUGGUGUAGCGGUGAAAUGCUUAGAUAUCACGAAGAACUCCGAUUGCGAAGGCAGUUCACUGGACUGCAACUGACACUGAGGCUCGAAAGUGUGGGUAUCAAACAGGAUUAGAUACCCUUGUAGUC
RNAcentral lists this ribosomal RNA (460 nucleotides) under uncultured bacterium. Its description in RNAcentral is "partial 16S ribosomal RNA". It matches the Rfam family "Bacterial small subunit ribosomal RNA", at positions 338 to 795 of the family's 1533-position model. The record is from RNAcentral.